Non-coding RNA from Nerophis lumbriciformis (worm pipefish), 420 nucleotides. The record is from the annotation of a RefSeq genome assembly. Lineage: Eukaryota; Metazoa; Chordata; Actinopteri; Syngnathiformes; Syngnathidae.
CCAGGAGUGCAAACAUGAAGCGUGCAUUGGUGUGUGUGCUGAUGGCUGCCUGGAGCCUCGGAUGUGGCAGCCAGACGGUGCACCAGCCAGCAGAGAAUGUGUACGCCAUGAAAGGCGACUCAGUGACGCUGGACUGCAGCUAUGAAAAUUCUGGAGGCAACGACAACAUCUUCUGGUACAAACAGGGCGGGAAGGCGGCACCAAAGUUCAUCCUGAGCCUCUCAAUUUUUGGUCAGGGCAAGACUGAGAGCAGCUUUGAAAAGAGGUUGAGCUGCAGCAUCAAUGACACCGCCAAGCGAGCUCCUCUGAAGAUCCAAGACGUGCAGCUGAACGACUCUGCUGUCUUCUACUGCGCCAUCCAGCCCACAAUGACUGACAUCUCUGCUGCACCCGCACAAAAAGCUCUGUAGGCUCCUCAUU